This 462-nucleotide long non-coding RNA is filed under the name Rhinopithecus bieti (black snub-nosed monkey). RNAcentral's name for it is "lncRNA (ENSRBIG00000045890.1)". The record is from RNAcentral. Lineage: Eukaryota; Metazoa; Chordata; Mammalia; Primates; Cercopithecidae.
GUCCUGUGCUUCAUUAGUCCUAGCUGGAUCAUGGACACAUUACCAUCAUUACAAAUAUCAAUAGUUUGUGAUUAUUUCAAACAAUCUGAAGUUGAAGGACCCCAGAUAUCCUUUAAAACAAGGUGGAUGCCAGUAGCAGUUGGCAUGUUUCCUUUUUCACAUUUGGCAACGGAAAGAACACCUCAAUCCCAGCAUUCUAAGCAAGAAUUGCAAGGCUCAGACACGUCAAUGCCCACUGCUAUAACUGACAAGGAAGUGGAAUGUCGUGUUUGGCUUCAACCAACAAGGGCUGGUUGGAGCUUUGAACUCCUAUCACACCAAAAAAAGAGGCUUCACUUGGAGUGCUGCCACUGGAUAGGGCCUGACUUGUUUAUCCAGAAAGAAGUGACUUCCCUGGGAAGAAGGUUGCAUCUGUGAAAGCCUGUGCAGCAUUUCAAGGACAUUCAUGUUUUCAUCAUUCAG